Molecule: ribosomal RNA, 214 nt
Filed under: uncultured bacterium
Lineage: Bacteria
Description: partial 16S ribosomal RNA
Rfam family: Bacterial small subunit ribosomal RNA
Source: RNAcentral
UCGGAACAUACCCUAGAGUGGGGGAUAACGUAGCGAAAGUUACGCUAAUACCGCAUACGCACUAUGGUGGAAAGCAGGGGAGUCGCAAGACCUUGCGCUCAUGGAGUGGCCGAUGUCAGAUUAGCUUGUUGGUGGGGUAAAAGCCUACCAAGGCGGCGAUCUGUAGCUGGUCUGAGAGGACGACCAGCCACACUGGAACUGAGACACGGUCCAG